Molecule: long non-coding RNA, 1026 nt
Organism: Pogoniulus pusillus (Red-fronted tinkerbird)
Lineage: Eukaryota; Metazoa; Chordata; Aves; Piciformes; Lybiidae
Exons: 2
Source: RefSeq, a predicted model, not a curated record
GAGUGUGGAGGCUUCUAAUUACGCGGCCGAGCUGCGCGGCGGGUGGGGCGGCGUGCUGUGCCCCGCAGCCGCGUACCUGAUUAUCCGUUGCUGAGGUCGUUAGAAGGGUUACUCCUGAGUUUAAGCCUGCUCCGCAAGACCCCUAAUUAUAUGCCGCUCUGCAAGUUGCAUUAAAAAGAAAUUGUUGAAAAGACAAAGGACAGAAUAACAUUUCCUCCCUCGUCUUCCCCUCUCUCCCCCGCUGCAGCACACACAGACACACACACACCCCCCCUCCACCUCUCCCUGCUGGGCCCAGAGCUACUUCUCACGCUUGAGUUGGUGCAAGCUCUGAUAAAGCCAUUGAAAGAUGCAGCGAGGAGACAGAGCGCUCCCAGGGACAGAGGGAAGCAGAAGAGGAAGCCGAAGUAAAAUGACCCCCUCCCAGGGAGCAAUGUAAUGUGGUUUCUUCCAUCGUGAAAAACCUGCUUCAGCUGGAGCUCCGGGAAGCCUGAGUCGCUAUAGAUAACACAUUCAAAGUGCAGUAUCCCUUGCACAUGCUGCCAGUUCUCAUUUUAAUCUCCCCAGACAUCAAAAAAAUUAAAAUGUAAAAUUCUCAGCUCUACAGUUGAGUGACGUGAAGGCUGCGCCCGCUGCAGUGCAAUUUCCAGAGCUGGGACAUGCACACAUGUGUCCAUCCCUGUCAGAGAUAACAGGUUUACGUGUGCUCUCCGUGAGCCCAUGAAGUGUACCACUAACAGAGAUAGAGAAUUUAAUGGGUUCUUCAUUACCACAUGUCUGGACUACUAAUGAACAAAGCCCAGGUUGAUAGCAGUAGCACUAAAUAUUUCCAGCGCUCCUUGGUGUGAUGGUAACAGUUCCAAUUUACGGUGGAGAUUAUUGCAGGGGUAUCUGUGGUACCAUGGGGGAUGCUUUCCCAGAUUGCUGUUUCAAGGAGUGGGGUGUUUGAUGCUAUUCGUGGCAUAGCAGUACCUGGAAGCCUGAAUGACAAACCAGGAUUUUGCUGCACCUGGUGCUGUAGAAACA